This 301-nucleotide ribosomal RNA is filed under the name uncultured bacterium. Its description in RNAcentral is "partial 16S ribosomal RNA". It matches the Rfam family "Bacterial small subunit ribosomal RNA", at positions 509 to 808 of the family's 1533-position model. The record is from RNAcentral.
CAGCCGCCGCGGUAAUCCGUAGGUCCCGAGCGUUGUCCUGAAUUACUGGGCGUAAGCGUGCGCAGGCGGUUGUGUAAGACAGGUGUGAAAUCCCCGGGCUUAACCUGGGAACUGCGCUUGUGACUGCACAGCUAGAGUAUGGCAGAGGGGGGUGGAAUUCCACGUGUAGCAGUGAAAUGCGUAGAGAUGUGGAGGAACACCGAUGGCGAAGGCAGCCCCCUGGGCCAAUACUGACGCUCAUGCACGAAAGCGUGGGGAGCAAACAGGAUUAGAUACCCCAGUAGUCCCUGUCUCUUAUACA